RNAcentral lists this ribosomal RNA (305 nucleotides) under uncultured bacterium. Its description in RNAcentral is "bacterial SSU rRNA". It matches the Rfam family "Bacterial small subunit ribosomal RNA", at positions 334 to 632 of the family's 1533-position model. The record is from RNAcentral.
UUCUCCCUACGGACGCAGCAGUAGGGAAUUUUCGUCAAUGGGCGCAAGCCUGAACGAGCAAUGCCGCGUGAACGAGGAAGGUCUUCGGAUCGUAAAGUUCUGUUGAAGGGGAAAAAGAGCGGAGAGAGGAGAUGGUCUCCGAUUGAUAUUACCCUUCGAGGAAGUCACGGCUAACUACGUGCCAGCAGCCGCGGUAAUACGUAGGUGGCGAGCGUUAUCCGGAAUGAUUGGGCGUAAAGGGUGCGUAGGCGGCCUGCUAAGUCUGGAGUGAAAGGUACCGGCUCAACCGGUACAGGCUCUGGAAA